CUCUGAAAUCAAUAAAAAUAAAAUCAAACCAGGGCAGUGAAUUCUGAAUGGUGUGGCUACAGAGUUCAGUCCCUGCUCAGAGCCUUCCACAGGUGCGGGAUCUUUAAAACCACCUGGGCAACCAGGACAUGGAAGGAGUGGAGAGAAGCCAGCACGCUGGUCUGCCCGCAGAUUUCCGACUUGCCAACUCCCACAAUCACAGAACAAUUCUUAAAAUAAACCUCUCUUUACAGGUGCAUAUAUACAAUAUCCUCCUGAUUGUUUCUCUGGAGAACUCUAAUAUUGGGGCCAUUCAACAGUGCUGGGGCAGUGAGAAAGCAGCCAUAGACACCAAGUGAACAAAUGAUGUGGCUGUGCGCCAAUAAAACUUUAUUCAUAAAAAUAGGCAGCAGGCUGGAUUAGGCUCCGGUAAUGUGCUGACCUCCUGUCUCCUGACAAAUAAGCACAGUAUCUGGCAUGGAAAAGGCACACUGAGUUAUGUCAUUUUUUAAAUUCUGUAGAACA
Molecule: long non-coding RNA, 504 nt
Organism: Myotis davidii
Lineage: Eukaryota; Metazoa; Chordata; Mammalia; Chiroptera; Vespertilionidae
Exons: 2
Source: RefSeq, a predicted model, not a curated record